UUGCUUUGGCAGCAUUUGUACUAAAAUUGGAAUGAUACAGAGAAGAUUAGCAUGGUCCCUGAACAAGGAUGACAUGCAAAUUCGUGAAGCGUUCCAUAGUCUA
Molecule: small nuclear RNA, 103 nt
Organism: Heterocephalus glaber (naked mole-rat)
Lineage: Eukaryota; Metazoa; Chordata; Mammalia; Rodentia; Bathyergidae
Source: Ensembl